GGGGGCGAUACGGUUUCGACGGGGAUAGUUGAGGCGUAAGCGGCAUGCCGGGGACUUCCAGCCCGUAAUCUGGGGAAAAAUGUAAUCGCAGACGAUUACGCUUUGGCUCAGGCCGCUUAAUCCGGCUUAAGCCAGCAGCCACUACGAGAGGGUUGCCGUCCGUCCCAUUCUUUGCCUGCGGGAAUGGCCGACGGGCGUCAAAUACAGCAGGAAAAGACGCUUUAUUUUACCCGGCGGGCAAGGCGUUUAAAUUAAACACCGGGCUGGUCCGGAAAAUCCUGCCAAUGGGAUCCUUACGGGCGAGAAUCAAAACAUCUGGCUAAGCAUGUAGAAGUUUACGGUGAAGAUUUCCGGACGGGGGUUCAAUUCCCCCCGCCUCCACCA
This 384-nucleotide transfer-messenger RNA is filed under the name Desulfarculales bacterium. It matches the Rfam family "transfer-messenger RNA". From Rfam's summary of the family: Bacterial tmRNA, also known as 10Sa RNA or SsrA, is named for its dual tRNA and mRNA-like properties. The record is from RNAcentral. Lineage: Bacteria; Pseudomonadati; Thermodesulfobacteriota; Desulfarculia; Desulfarculales.